CAGUAGCCGCGGUAAUACGAAGGGGGCUAGCGUUGUUCGGAAUUACUGGGCGUAAAGCGCACGUAGGCGGAUACUUAAGUCAGGGGUGAAAUCCCGGGGCUCAACCCCGGAACUGCCUUUGAUACUGGGUAUCUCGAGUCCGGAAGAGGUGGGUGGAAUUCCGAGUGUAGAGGUGAAAUUCGUAGAUAUUCGGAGGAACACCAGUGGCGAAGGCGGCUCACUGGUCCGGUACUGACGCUGAGGUGCGAAAGCGUGGGGAGCAAACAGGAUUAGAUACCCCUGUAGUCCCUGUCUCUUAUAC
RNAcentral lists this ribosomal RNA (301 nucleotides) under uncultured bacterium. RNAcentral's name for it is "partial 16S ribosomal RNA". It matches the Rfam family "Bacterial small subunit ribosomal RNA", at positions 509 to 807 of the family's 1533-position model. The record is from RNAcentral.